GUCUCCCUGUUGUGUUCGAGUAAAAAUUAAGUUUUUUGAGCCAACAGUUUGUAAAAGGGGUUGAAGAAUCAGCUGCGGUGUGCAUGCCUUCUUAAUUGAUAAGGAAGCCUAAAGUGGUUUACCGAUACCCCACCUGUCCUUGACAGGUUCAAAAAAUAGUUUUUCCGCGGCAUAAACGGGGAGGCU
Molecule: non-coding RNA, 186 nt
Filed under: Nitrospina sp.
Lineage: Bacteria; Pseudomonadati; Nitrospinota; Nitrospinia; Nitrospinales; Nitrospinaceae
Description: 6S RNA
Rfam family: 6S / SsrS RNA
About the family: E. coli 6S RNA was the first non coding RNA to be sequenced, but its function was unknown until recently. It consists of 184 nucleotides that fold into an extended hairpin structure with a large single-stranded internal bulge. The 6S RNA specifically associates with RNA polymerase holoenzyme containing the sigma70 specificity factor.
Source: RNAcentral